Molecule: non-coding RNA, 1150 nt
Organism: Arachis ipaensis
Lineage: Eukaryota; Viridiplantae; Streptophyta; Magnoliopsida; Fabales; Fabaceae
Source: RefSeq, a predicted model, not a curated record
GAUACAUGUAUAGGCACAUGUAUAAAGAUUUGAUAGUUACAUUAAUACCAAGAAUCUAAGUGUAUUAUUUAGACGAACAAUUGGUGCAAUGCAGGGGUGGUGAGUGCAUAAUGGUAAAAAAAUGUGGGUAGGGAUGAAUGUAAUUUACCUUGUCUUGCUUGAAAUCUACUCUAUGCAUUCUCAUCUAUGAUAACUACUGCAAGCAAAUUAGGGUACAUACUGAACAAAUGGGGCUGAAUCUAGCUUCUUGUAGAGAUGAUAUGCUUCAGUACCACAGAUGUCUUCUAUACGGCCGUAAAGCAGCUUGAGGGCACAUACAGGUUGUUGUCUAUUUCCUUUAUUAAGUUCAAACUCCUGUGAAAUUUUAUAUUUUUUAUUCUUUAGCAUUUUGACCUGUUUUCUAAUUGGCAACUAUAUAUAGUGUUCAACUCAGAUAUUUAUUUUACUUAUAUGGAAACAAGUUUCUGCUUUGUCACGACAUGGCAGGGCCUUGGCAAGUGGUCUGGUAGUGCAGAUCCACCCAUCUUCUGUAUUAUUCAGGCAAAAACUAGAGUGUAUUAUUUUUAAUGAACUUGUUCAAACUAGUAGCAAGUACGUUCGGAAACUAAGCAAUAUUGACUACCUACGGUUAAUUGAGCUGGCUCCUCAAUAUUAUGCUGUGAAAAAUUAAAUUCUUCAUGGUUUUGCCAAAUAGGACAUUUAUCUAUUACAGCAAGAUCAAUGAAAGCUUUAGAAUAUGUCUACUUUAUCGAUGUUGCCUAUUGACUUUAUAUAAAUGACAACAGUUUUAAUGGCUUGUCUUUGCUAUCAUUACUUGUCUAAAACUAUGGAAAUGCGGCUUGAUCCUCCAAUGACAUACACCUCUUACUGAGUUGUUCCUGCUUUAUUUUCUACCACUGGGUGGUUACUGAGUGAUGUAAUUGCAAACCUUACUGUCGAUAGCUACAUUUGAGGUGGUGGAUUAGCUUGAGCAAAGGAAUUGAGUUAGACCAGUUAACAAAUAUUUUGAACUGUCCAAUUCUAUCAAACUUUAGGUGCUAGUGGUAUUAUGUAGAUGCCUAUUUGUCUAACUUAUGAGUUCAAUAAUCAUUGUGUAAAGCUAUUUUUUUCUAGAUCUGCAUAUUUAUCUAAUGUUGUAUAUUAAUUUUAA